GGGACAGACAGGCAAGUGGAGCUCAGGCAGCAACAGGAAGGAAGGACACAAAGCAGUUGAAUAUUAUGGCUGAUGGGGUGGGGAGAGCAGAGGAGACAUGGCCAGCAAGGAAAGCGUAGGCACUGGAGAUGGGUUGCAAAGGUGCAGCAGCAGCAAGACACGGUGGUGUAACUCUUACAACUCCAGGGAAGCUAAAACAGGGACCCUUUCUGUCUGGACCCUCAGCAUUUCCAUCCUGUUCCCUGCCUAAGGGUCAACGCGAGCAUGUCGAGCCCCGCUGUCUCCGGAAAGGCUGAAGAGUAGCCAGCGAGCAAAGUUGUGAUUAUAUUCCUUGGAGCUGCUUAAGCCUGGGAGAAGAAUUGGCCCCAGGAGUUUUAUCUUGAAAAUGUCCCUUGAAAAUCCCACACCUUGGCUAGGAAGAUUAAAAGGGUCAGCAAACUCCGCCGGAGGGGCGCACGCAUUCGCCAUUUGAGCACCCCCCUAUUUGGAGAGAUUUGAGCUUCCUUCUUUUUUUGGGAGGGAGGCCAACCUGGACACGUCGACUCCAGCAUGGGGCCUUUUGCCCUGGCAGUCAGGAUUGGGAGCCCAGCUUUUGGUAAGACGUCUUCAUG
Alligator sinensis (Chinese alligator) is the source of this 611-nucleotide long non-coding RNA. RefSeq lists it as uncharacterized. Lineage: Eukaryota; Metazoa; Chordata; Crocodylia; Alligatoridae. The record is from RefSeq and is a predicted model, not a curated record. The transcript has 4 exons.